UUAAGCGACUAAGCGUACACGGUGGAUGCCCUGGCAGUCAGAGGCGAUGAAGGACGUGCUAAUCUGCGAUAAGCGUCGGUAAGGUGAUAUGAACCGUUAUAACCGGCGAUUUCCGAAUGGGGAAACCCAGUGUGUUUCGACACACUAUCAUUAACUGAAUCCAUAGGUUAAUGAGGCGAACCGGGGGAACUGAAACAUCUAAGUACCCCGAGGAAAAGAAAUCAACCGAGAUUCCCCCAGUAGCGGCGAGCGAACGGGGAGCAGCCCAGAGCCUGAAUCAGUGUGUGUGUUAGUGGAAGCGUCUGGAAAGGCGCGCGAUACAGGGUGACAGCCCCGUACACAAAAAUGCACAUGCUGUGAGCUCGAUGAGUAGGGCGGGACACGUGGUAUCCUGUCUGAAUAUGGGGGGACCAUCCUCCAAGGCUAAAUACUCCUGACUGACCGAUAGUGAACCAGUACCGUGAGGGAAAGGCGAAAAGAACCCCGGCGAGGGGAGUGAAAAAGAACCUGAAACCGUGUACGUACAAGCAGUGGGAGCACGCUUCGGCGUGUGACUGCGUACCUUUUGUAUAAUGGGUCAGCGACUUAUAUUCUGUAGCAAGGUUAACCGAAUAGGGGAGCCGAAGGGAAACCGAGUCUUAACUGGGCGUUAAGUUGCAGGGUAUAGACCCGAAACCCGGUGAUCUAGCCAUGGGCAGGUUGAAGGUUGGGUAACACUAACUGGAGGACCGAACCGACUAAUGUUGAAAAAUUAGCGGAUGACUUGUGGCUGGGGGUGAAAGGCCAAUCAAACCGGGAGAUAGCUGGUUCUCCCCGAAAGCUAUUUAGGUAGCGCCUCGUGAAUUCAUCUCCGGGGGUAGAGCACUGUUUCGGCAAGGGGGUCAUCCCGACUUACCAACCCGAUGCAAACUGCGAAUACCGGAGAAUGUUAUCACGGGAGACACACGGCGGGUGCUAACGUCCGUCGUGAAGAGGGAAACAACCCAGACCGCCAGCUAAGGUCCCAAAGUCAUGGUUAAGUGGGAAACGAUGUGGGAAGGCCCAGACAGCCAGGAUGUUGGCUUAGAAGCAGCCAUCAUUUAAAGAAAGCGUAAUAGCUCACUGGUCGAGUCGGCCUGCGCGGAAGAUGUAACGGGGCUAAACCAUGCACCGAAGCUGCGGCAGCGACGCUGAUGCGUUGUUGGGUAGGGGAGCGUUCUGUAAGCCUGUGAAGGUGUGCUGUGAGGCAUGCUGGAGGUAUCAGAAGUGCGAAUGCUGACAUAAGUAACGAUAAAGCGGGUGAAAAGCCCGCUCGCCGGAAGACCAAGGGUUCCUGUCCAACGUUAAUCGGGGCAGGGUGAGUCGACCCCUAAGGCGAGGCCGAAAGGCGUAGUCGAUGGGAAACAGGUUAAUAUUCCUGUACUUGGUGUUACUGCGAAGGGGGGACGGAGAAGGCUAUGUUGGCCGGGCGACGGUUGUCCCGGUUUAAGCGUGUAGGCUGGUUUUCCAGGCAAAUCCGGAAAAUCAAGGCUGAGGCGUGAUGACGAGGCACUACGGUGCUGAAGCAACAAAUGCCCUGCUUCCAGGAAAAGCCUCUAAGCAUCAGGUAACAUCAAAUCGUACCCCAAACCGACACAGGUGGUCAGGUAGAGAAUACCAAGGCGCUUGAGAGAACUCGGGUGAAGGAACUAGGCAAAAUGGUGCCGUAACUUCGGGAGAAGGCACGCUGAUAUGUAGGUGAAGCGACUUGCUCGUGGAGCUGAAAUCAGUCGAAGAUACCAGCUGGCUGCAACUGUUUAUUAAAAACACAGCACUGUGCAAACACGAAAGUGGACGUAUACGGUGUGACGCCUGCCCGGUGCCGGAAGGUUAAUUGAUGGGGUUAGCGCAAGCGAAGCUCUUGAUCGAAGCCCCGGUAAACGGCGGCCGUAACUAUAACGGUCCUAAGGUAGCGAAAUUCCUUGUCGGGUAAGUUCCGACCUG
This 1962-nucleotide ribosomal RNA is filed under the name human gut metagenome. Its description in RNAcentral is "bacterial LSU rRNA". It matches the Rfam family "Bacterial large subunit ribosomal RNA", at positions 1 to 1990 of the family's 2925-position model. The record is from RNAcentral.